GAUGAACGCUGGCGGCGUGCCUAAUACAUGCAAGUCGAGCGAACAGAUAAGGAGCUUGCUCCUUUGACGUUAGCGGCGGACGGGUGAGUAACACGUGGGUAACCUACCUAUAAGACUGGGAUAACUUCGGGAAACCGGAGCUAAUACCGGAUAAUAUUUCGAACCGCAUGGUUCGAUAGUGAAAGAUGGUUUUGCUAUCACUUAUAGAUGGACCCGCGCCGUAUUAGCUAGUUGGUAAGGUAACGGCUUACCAAGGCGACGAUACGUAGCCGACCUGAGAGGGUGAUCGGCCACACUGGAACUGAGACACGGUCCAGACUCCUACGGGAGGCAGCAGUAGGGAAUCUUCCGCAAUGGGCGAAAGCCUGACGGAGCAACGCCGCGUGAGUGAUGAAGGUCUUCGGAUCGUAAAACUCUGUUAUUAGGGAAGAACAUACGUGUAAGUAACUGUGCACGUCUUGACGGUACCUAAUCAGAAAGCCACGGCUAACUACGUGCCAGCAGCCGCGGUAAUACGUAGGUGGCAAGCGUUAUCCGGAAUUAUUGGGCGUAAAGCGCGCGUAGGCGGUUUUUUAAGUCUGAUGUGAAAGCCCACGGCUCAACCGUGGAGGGUCAUUGGAAACUGGAAAACUUGAGUGCAGAAGAGGAAAGUGGAAUUCCAUGUGUAGCGGUGAAAUGCGCAGAGAUAUGGAGGAACACCAGUGGCGGAGGCGACUUUCUGGUCUGUAACUGACGCUGAUGUGCGAAAGCGUGGGGAUCAAACAGGAUUAGAUACCCUGGUAGUCCACGCCGUAAACGAUGAGUGCUAAGUGUUAGGGGGUUUCCGCCCCUUAGUGCUGCAGCUAACGCAUUAAGCACUCCGCCUGGGGAGUACGACCGCAAGGUUGAAACUCAAAGGAAUUGACGGGGACCCGCACAAGCGGUGGAGCAUGUGGUUUAAUUCGAAGCAACGCGAAGAACCUUACCAAAUCUUGACAUCCCUUGACAACUCUAGAGAUAGAGCUUUCCCCUUCGGGGGACAAAGUGACAGGUGGUGCAUGGUUGUCGUCAGCUCGUGUCGUGAGAUGUUGGGUUAAGUCCCGCAACGAGCGCAACCCUUAAGCUUAGUUGCCAUCAUUAAGUUGGGCACUCUAAGUUGACUGCCGGUGACAAACCGGAGGAAGGUGGGGAUGACGUCAAAUCAUCAUGCCCCUUAUGAUUUGGGCUACACACGUGCUACAAUGGACAAUACAAAGGGCAGCGAAACCGCGAGGUCAAGCAAAUCCCAUAAAGUUGUUCUCAGUUCGGAUUGUAGUCUGCAACUCGACUACAUGAAGCUGGAAUCGCUAGUAAUCGUAGAUCAGCAUGCUACGGUGAAUACGUUCCCGGGUCU
This 1372-nucleotide ribosomal RNA is filed under the name uncultured bacterium. RNAcentral describes it as "bacterial SSU rRNA". It matches the Rfam family "Bacterial small subunit ribosomal RNA", at positions 28 to 1381 of the family's 1533-position model. The record is from RNAcentral.